RNAcentral lists this ribosomal RNA (433 nucleotides) under uncultured bacterium. RNAcentral describes it as "partial 16S ribosomal RNA". It matches the Rfam family "Bacterial small subunit ribosomal RNA", at positions 29 to 507 of the family's 1533-position model. The record is from RNAcentral.
AACGAACGCUGGCGGCAUGCCUAACACAUGCAAGUCGAACGAGACCUUCGGGUCUAGUGGCGCACGGGUGCGUAACGCGUGGGAACCUGCCCUUAGGUUCGGAAUACCUCCCCGAAAGGGGUCCUAAUACCGGAUAAUGUCUUCGCACCAAAGAUUUAUCGCCUUGGGAUGGGCCCGCGUUGGAUUCGCUAGUUGGUAGGGUAAAAGCCUACCAAGGCGACGAUCCAUAGCUGGUCUGAGAAGAUGAUCAGCCACACUGGGACUGAGACACGGCCCAGACUCGUAGGGGAGGCAGCAGUGGGGAAUAUGGGGCAAUGGGCGAAGGCGUGAUCCAGCAAUGCCGCGUGAGUGAUGAAGGCCUUAGGGUUGUAAAGCUCUUUUACCCGGGAUGAUAAUGACAGUACCGGGAGAAUAAGCUCCGGCUAACUCCGUG